This 1743-nucleotide ribosomal RNA is filed under the name Chasmocephalon sp. LB-2014a. RNAcentral's name for it is "SSU rRNA". It matches the Rfam family "Eukaryotic small subunit ribosomal RNA". The record is from RNAcentral. Lineage: Eukaryota; Metazoa; Arthropoda; Arachnida; Araneae; Anapidae.
GCCAUGCAUGUCUAAGUACAUGCCGAAACAGGGCGAAACCGCGAAUGGCUCAUUAAAUCAGUUAUGGUUCCUUGGAUCGUACCUCACAUACUUGGAUAACUGUGGCAAUUCUAGAGCUAAUACAUGCAGCAGAGCUCCGACCCCCUGGGGACGAGCGCUUUUAUUAGACCAAAACCAAUCGGUUCCGCAAGGUUCCGCACUCGGUGGUGACUCUGUAUAACUUUGGGCUGAUCGCACGGGCCCGUCCCGGCGACGCGUCCUUCAAGUGUCUGCCUUAUCAACUGUCGACGGUAGGCCAAUCGCCUACCGUGGUCGUAACGGGUGACGGGGAAUCAGGGUUCGGUUCCGGAGAGGGAGCCUGAGAAACGGCUACCACAUCCAAGGAAGGCAGCAGGCGCGCAAAUUACCCACUCCCGGCACGGGGAGGUAGUGACGAAAAAUAACAAUACGGGACUCUUACGAGACCCCGUAAUUGGAAUGAGUACACUCUAAAUCCUUUCGCGAGGAUCCAUUGGAGGGCAAGUCUGGUGCCAGCAGCUGCGGUAAUUCCAGUUCCAAUAGCGUAUAUUAAAGUUGUUGCGGUUAAAAAGCUCGUAGUUGGAUCUCAGUUCCAGGCGGGCGGUCCCCCUAACGGGGGCCACCGUCCGUUCUGAACAGCCAGCCGGCUGCGCUCGAUGAUCUUCACCGGUUGUCUUGCGCGUCCGGCACGUUUACUUUGAAAAAAUUAGAGUGCUCAGAGCAGGCGCGACGCCUGGAUAAUGGUGCAUGGAAUAAUGGAACAGGACCUCGGUUCUGCUUUGUUGGUUUUCGGGACGAGAGGUAAUGAUUAAGAGGGACAGACGGGGGCAUUCGUAUUGACGCGCUAGAGGUGAAAUUCUUGGACCGCGGCAAGACGAACAGCAGCGAAAGCAUUUGCCAAGAAUGUUUCCAUUGAUCAAGAACGAAAGUUAGAGGCUCGAAGGCGAUCAGAUACCGCCCUAGUUCUAACCAUAAACGAUGCCAGCCAGCGAUCGGGCUGCGUUCCUCAAAUGACGCGCCCGGCAGCUUCCGGGAAACCAAAGCCUUUGGGUUCCGGGGGAAGUAUGGUUGCAAAGCUAAAACUUAAAGGAAUUGACGGAAGGGCACCACAAGGAAUGGAGCCUGCGGCUCAAUUUGACUCAACGCGGUAAACUCACCCGGCCCGGACACAGGAAGGAUUGACAGAUUGAGAGCUCUUUCUUGAUUCUGUGGGUGGUGGUGCAUGGCCGUCGGUAGUUGGUGGAGCGAUUUGUCUGCUUAAUUGCGAUAACGAACGAGACUCUAGCCUACUAAAUAGGCGCUCCGGUCCCCCGCGGCCGGACGCUCUUCUUAGAGGGACAGGUGGCGCUUAGCCGCACGAGACGGAGCAAUGACAGGUCAGUGAUGCCCUUAGAUGUCCGGGGCCGCACGCGCGCUACAUUGAAGGAAUCAGCGUGUGCUUUCCCGCCCCGAGAGGGGCGGGUAACCCGUUGAACCUCCUUCGUGCUGGGGAUAGCCGCUUGCAACUUUUCGGCUUGAACGAGGAAUUCCUCGUAAUCGCAAGUCAUAAGCUUGCGCUGAUUGAGUCCCUGCCCUUUGUGCACACCGCCCGUCGCUAGAACCGAUUGAAUGAUUUAGUGAGGCCUUCGGACUGGCGCUCGGACUGGCCUCCGGGUCGGGCCGACGUGCCGGAAAGAUGGCCAAACUUGAUCAUUUAGAGGAUCUAAAAGUCGUAACAAGGUUGCC